Molecule: ribosomal RNA, 1355 nt
Filed under: uncultured bacterium
Lineage: Bacteria
Description: bacterial SSU rRNA
Rfam family: Bacterial small subunit ribosomal RNA
Source: RNAcentral
AUUGAACGUUGGCGGCAGGCUUAACACAUGCAAGUCGAACGAUGAUUAUCUAGCUUGCUAGAUAUGAUUAGUGGCGGACGGGUGAGUAACAUUUAGGAAUCUGCCUAGUAGUGGGGGAUAGCUCGGGGAAACUCGAAUUAAUACCGCAUACGACCUACGGGUGAAAGGGGGCGCAAGCUCUUGCUAUUAGAUGAGCCUAAAUCAGAUUAGCUAGUUGGUGGGGUAAAGGCCCACCAAGGCGACGAUCUGUAACUGGUCUGAGAGGAUGAUCAGUCACACCGGAACUGAGACACGGUCCGGACUCCUACGGGAGGCAGCAGUGGGGAAUAUUGGACAAUGGGGGCAACCCUGAUCCAGCCAUGCCGCGUGUGUGAAGAAGGCCUUUUGGUUGUAAAGCACUUUAAGCAGGGAGGAGAGGCUAAUGGUUAAUACCCAUUAGAUUAGACGUUACCUGCAGAAUAAGCACCGGCUAACUCUGUGCCAGCAGCCGCGGUAAUACAGAGGGUGCGAGCGUUAAUCGGAAUUACUGGGCGUAAAGCGAGUGUAGGUGGCUCAUUAAGUCACAUGUGAAAUCCCCGGGCUUAACCUGGGAACUGCAUGUGAUACUGGUGGUGCUAGAAUAUGUGAGAGGGAAGUAGAAUUCCAGGUGUAGCGGUGAAAUGCGUAGAGAUCUGGAGGAAUACCGAUGGCGAAGGCAGCUUCCUGGCAUAAUAUUGACACUGAGAUUCGAAAGCGUGGGUAGCAAACAGGAUUAGAUACCCUGGUAGUCCACGCCGUAAACGAUGUCUACUAGCCGUUGGGGUCCUUGAGACUUUAGUGGCGCAGUUAACGCGAUAAGUAGACCGCCUGGGGAGUACGGCCGCAAGGUUAAAACUCAAAUGAAUUGACGGGGGCCCGCACAAGCGGUGGAGCAUGUGGUUUAAUUCGAUGCAACGCGAAGAACCUUACCUGGUCUUGACAUAGUGAGAAUCCUGCAGAGAUGCGGGAGUGCCUUCGGGAAUUCACAUACAGGUGCUGCAUGGCUGUCGUCAGCUCGUGUCGUGAGAUGUUGGGUUAAGUCCCGCAACGAGCGCAACCCUUUUCCUUAUUUGCCAGCGGGUUAAGCCGGGAACUUUAAGGAUACUGCCAGUGACAAACUGGAGGAAGGCGGGGACGACGUCAAGUCAUCAUGGCCCUUACGACCAGGGCUACACACGUGCUACAAUGGUAGGUACAGAGGGUUGCUACACAGCGAUGUGGUGCUAAUCUCAAAAAGCCUAUCGUAGUCCGGAUUGGAGUCUGCAACUCGACUCCAUGAAGUCGGAAUCGCUAGUAAUCGCAGAUCAGAAUGCUGCGGUGAAUACGUUCCCGGGCCU